RNAcentral lists this non-coding RNA (154 nucleotides) under Chloroflexia bacterium. RNAcentral's name for it is "6S RNA". It matches the Rfam family "6S / SsrS RNA". From Rfam's summary of the family: E. coli 6S RNA was the first non coding RNA to be sequenced, but its function was unknown until recently. It consists of 184 nucleotides that fold into an extended hairpin structure with a large single-stranded internal bulge. The record is from RNAcentral. Lineage: Bacteria; Bacillati; Chloroflexota; Chloroflexia.
CCGAACCUGCGGUGUUCGUGUUGCCUUCGUCGUCUUGAGCCAAUACAGAAAGCGUCGGGAGUCGCUCGCCCGCCUCCAUAGAGGUUGGCGAAGGGAUUCCCACUUGCGAGAGCAGGUUCAAGGUUCCGAUGCACACGGCACAGGCGGGGGAGGC